CAUGUAGGCGGCUUAAUAAGUCGAGCGUGAAAAUGCGGGGCUCAACCCCGUAUGGCGCUGGAAACUGUUAGGCUUGAGUGCAGGAGAGGAAAGGGGAAUUCCCAGUGUAGCGGUGAAAUGCGUAGAUAUUGGGAGGAACACCAGUGGCGAAGGCGCCUUUCUGGACUGUGUCUGACGCUGAGAUGCGAAAGCCAGGGUAGCGAAC
Molecule: ribosomal RNA, 205 nt
Filed under: uncultured bacterium
Lineage: Bacteria
Description: partial 16S ribosomal RNA
Rfam family: Bacterial small subunit ribosomal RNA
Source: RNAcentral